Molecule: transfer RNA, 81 nt
Filed under: Lachnospiraceae bacterium
Lineage: Bacteria; Bacillati; Bacillota; Clostridia; Lachnospirales; Lachnospiraceae
Also listed under: 4 other names
Description: tRNA-Leu
Rfam family: tRNA
About the family: Transfer RNA (tRNA) molecules are approximately 80 nucleotides in length. Their secondary structure includes four short double-helical elements and three loops (D, anti-codon, and T loops).
Source: RNAcentral
GCGGCUUUGGCGGAAUUGGCAGACGCGCAGGAUUUAGGUUCCUGUAUCUCUGAUGUGCGGGUUCAAGUCCCGUGAGCCGCA